RNAcentral lists this ribosomal RNA (305 nucleotides) under uncultured Pseudomonadota bacterium. RNAcentral's name for it is "bacterial SSU rRNA". It matches the Rfam family "Bacterial small subunit ribosomal RNA", at positions 29 to 351 of the family's 1533-position model. The record is from RNAcentral. Lineage: Bacteria; Pseudomonadati; Pseudomonadota.
AACGAACGCUGGCGGCAUGCCUAACACAUGCAAGUCGAACGGGAUCCGGACUUCGGUUCGGUGAGAGUGGCGGACGGGUGAGUAACGCGUGGGAACCUGCCCAGUGGUGGGGGAUAACUGCGGGAAACUGCAGCUAAUACCGCAUGAGCCCGAGAGGGGAAAGAUUUAUCGCCAUUGGAGGGGCCCGCGUUCGAUUAGGUAGUUGGUGAGGUAACGGCUCACCAAGCCGACGAUCGAUAGCUGGUCUGAGAGGAUGAUCAGCCACACUGGGACUGAGAUACGGCCCAGACUCCUACGGGUGGCUG